UGUAAAUUAAACAUGACAACAUGCAUUAUUCCUGUAGUUCAAAUAGUGACAGAAAAAAAUUAAUUAAAAAAAGAAAAAAGACUGGGCGUGGUGGCUCACACCUGUAAUCCCAGCACUUUGGGAGGCCAAGGCGGGUGGAUUACCUGAGGUCAGGAGUUCGAAACCAGCCUGACUAAUACGGUGAAACCCCAUCUACUAAAAAUACAAAAAUUAGCCAGGUGGGGUGAUGCUGUAAUCCCAGCUAGUCAGGAGGCUGAGGCAGAGGUUGUGGUGAGGGGAGAUCAUGCCAUUGCACUCCAGCCUGGGCAACAAGAGCAAAACUCCGUCUCAAAAAAAAAAAAAUCAAUUAAAAAAAGAAAAAAAUGCAUUCUUAUCAGACUUUUAUGUUUCUCAUAUAUAGCACUGUUUUCGACAGACUUAAACAUAGUUAUUUAUUAUAUACCACUUUUUUGCACAAAUCAAAAGGAAAAUUGGCUGGGUGCAGUGGCUCACACUUGUAAUCCCAUCAUUUUGGGAGGCUGAGGUGGGCGGAUCACGAGGUCAGGAGUUUGAGACCAGCCUGGCCAACAUGGUGAAACCCCAUCUCUACUAAAAAUAGAAAAAAUAGCUGGGCGUAGUGGUGGGCACCUGUAAUCCCAGCUACUCGGGAGUCUGAGGCAGGAGAGUCGCUUGAACCCGGGAGGCGGAGGUUGCAGUGAGCCAAGGUCACACCAUUGCACUCCAGCCUGGGCGACAUGGUGAGACUCCAUUUCAAAAAAAAAAAAGGAAAAUAAGUGAAAUAAACAAAAAAAUCAGUUUAACUUUUUGCCAUAUCAGACAUCCUUAGAAGAAUAAACAUUGGCCGGGCGCGGUGGCUUAUGCCUAUAAUCCCAGCACUUUGGGAGGCUAAAGCAGGCUGAUCACCUGAGGUCGGGAGUUUGAGACCAGCCUGACCAACAUGGAGAAACCCCAUCUCUACUAAAAAUAGAAAAAAAAAAUUAGCCAGGCAUGGCGGUGCAUGCCUGUAGCCCCACCGACUUGGAGGCUGAGGCAGGAGAAUCACUUGAAUCCGGUAGGCGGAGGUUGCGGUGAGCCGAGAUCGUGCCAUUGCACUCCAACCUGGGCGACAAGAGUGAAACUCUGUCUCAAAAAAAAGAAUAAACAUUAGGCUCUGUUAGUAUGAAAAAGCCUUGUUUAUGUAUGAUUUUUCCAGUGCUGAAAAUGGGAUGGAGAUUUAGAAGCUUUGGAGGGAGGUGGUUUUAUGUUUUUCAUGUGUCCUGGAUUCCUCUUGUGUGGCCAUAGCAGAGGGCAGUGAUAGGGGCAUCCCUUACAAAUGCCCUUUUACUGUCUGGCUUGGUUAGAGUUCUUUGGCCAAGUUCCUGCCUCUGUUGUUAUGGUCCUCCUACCAGUUCAUUUAGGGAUCAAGAGUUAAUGAGUCUCUCGGGUCGUUUUUGUGAGGUCCAGCUUUGUAAGGAGUCCUUCCUUCCUUACGUCUUGGCUUAAGACAUGUCCUGCUGCUGCUAAGUUGUCACAGUCCCAUAGGGGGGCAAAAUGAGAGGAGCUUUUAAGACGGACUUCACGAUUGCAGCAUUUUAAAUGGCUACAUGUUUUAUUUCCUUAGCUUUAGUGUUUCUGUAGAGAAAAGAGAUGGAUUUCAAUUUUUUUGCAUGUCACUCUGACAAAGUUCUGUUUCCCUUACAGCAGCCAAGAAACUAAAAUAAGGCUAGGCUUAGUGGCUCAUGCCUGUAAUCUUAGCACUUUGUGAGGCCAAAAUGAGAGGAUCGCUUAAGCCCAGUAGUUUGAGACCAGCCUGGGCAACAUAGUGAGACUUAGUCUCUAUAAAAACAUUUAAGGCUGGGUGCGGUGGCUCACGCCUGUAAUUCCAGCACCUUGGGAGGCUGAGGCCAGUGGAUUGCUUGAGGCCAGGAGUUCGAGACCAACCUGGGCAACGUGGUGAAACCCGCCCCCCAUCUCUGU
This 1956-nucleotide long non-coding RNA is filed under the name Homo sapiens (human). RNAcentral describes it as "non-protein coding lnc-ZNF385C-4:3". The record is from RNAcentral. Lineage: Eukaryota; Metazoa; Chordata; Mammalia; Primates; Hominidae.